RNAcentral lists this long non-coding RNA (1151 nucleotides) under Eucalyptus grandis. RNAcentral's name for it is "long non-coding RNA (EGRA_LNC004930)". The record is from RNAcentral. Lineage: Eukaryota; Viridiplantae; Streptophyta; Magnoliopsida; Myrtales; Myrtaceae.
AUCAUCUCAGCUAGCAACGCACCUUUGGAGGGCAAAAUUUCCUUAAGAGAGAGUCACCAAAAUGUCUGAUCACGGUCAUCACGGCGGAGGCGGGCACGGAGGUCCUGGAGGUGGUGGCCCUGGCGGAGGUGGCCAUGGAGGUCCUGGAGGUGGUGGCCCUGGCGGAGGUGGCCAUGGAGGUCCUGGAGGCGGUGGCCCUGGCGGAGGCCAUGGAGGCCCUGGAGGUGGUGGCCAUGGCGGAGGCCAUGGUGGUCCUGGUGGAGGCCAGGGUGGUCCAGGCGGCAAGCCCGGAGGAGAUCACGGCCAUGGCGGACCAGGCGGACCGGGCGGGCAAGGCCCCGGCGGACAUGGCCCUGGUGGCCACGGUCCUGGGGGCGGCCACCAGCACGGCAGAUGCUAGUUGGUAGACUAGCGUCCUAUCGUUUAUAUGUGAUGUAAAGUAUCUCCGGUGCCUUUUAACCGUCUUCUAUUUGAGGUUAAAAAAAAAAAAAAAAAACCCAAAAAAACUAAUAAGCACCGUGUGGAGUCAGUCUUGUAAUUGUGCUUGCAAGUAUCCUAAUGAAUUUCAAGGUUCCUAAUAUGAUCUGUAGCUUUGUGCAUGAGAUGUCCUUGAACCUCAUUCAUGAAACAGGUUACAAAUGAAAGAAACAGAAUUCCGAAUUAAGAUAAGCAUGUUUCUUCACAAGCAUCGUUCAUCAACUGACCAGUCACGACGAGAGACAAUCGAAACAUAAGCACAGUGCUCCCCAUUAAUUCUGAUUAUCAACAAGAAAAUAGAAACAAACUAGGUCGGUCUGCAUUAGUCACGAUCCAAACACAUUAUAUGAACAAAAGUUUCUCUUGUGCCCUUUCGUCCCCUCAUCAAUUCCUUCCAGCCAGUGAAGUUCGUGGUCUUGCGAUCUUCAGCGUGGUUUCUCAUCUCCACACGAUGUCAAAGUCGACGAAGUUCACGUUCUGUUUUGAGUUCUCUUCAUUUAAUUUUUCCGCAGAAAUUAGAGAUGUUCAAUAAAAAAUUAAUAUAAUCACCAUUUUGCAUCAAAGGGCUGUACGAAACGGUCAAAGGGUGGGGCCAUAUGUUGCAAACGAAUCAGCAAAAGUUUGGGGUGUCUUGAGGGUAUUCUUUGCUACAUAGCAAGAUCAUGGGUUCUUCG